CGCACACACACACGCACACACACACACACACACGCGCGCACACACGCACACGCGCCGGCGAGCCCGCUCCUCACUACUGCAUCCCCAAACCGGCAGAGCGAAGCUGCUGCGGUGUCUCGUAACCUCAGCAUCGUGGGGCGAAGCAGAGCCCUUGUGCGUCCGGGGGAGCCCGGCGCCCGCGCUGCGCCUCGGCUCCUCAACACAGCCGACCGCUCACCCCGUCGGCUGGAAUGCUCACUGAUUCCUCUGCAAACUUCUAAGGCUGAGACCCUGAGGAACCCAGCUGGAGAAUGCCGUCUGAACGCUGCCUCAGUAUUCAAGAAAUGCUGACAGGCCAGAGGCUCUGUCAUUCCGAAUCUCACAAUGUUAGCGUCCUGGCAGCGCUGAACCAGCAGAGGAGUGAUGGCAUCCUCUGCGACGUCACCCUGAUUGCUGAGGAACAGAAAUUCCAUGCUCACAAGGCAGUCCUGGCAGCGUGCAGCGACUAUUUUCGGGUAAGUCAGGUUGUUUGU
Carlito syrichta (Philippine tarsier) is the source of this 512-nucleotide long non-coding RNA. RefSeq lists it as uncharacterized. The transcript is spliced from 3 exons. The record is from RefSeq and is a predicted model, not a curated record. Lineage: Eukaryota; Metazoa; Chordata; Mammalia; Primates; Tarsiidae.